This 71-nucleotide transfer RNA is filed under the name Cavia porcellus (domestic guinea pig). It matches the Rfam family "tRNA". From Rfam's summary of the family: Transfer RNA (tRNA) molecules are approximately 80 nucleotides in length. The record is from Rfam by way of RNAcentral. Lineage: Eukaryota; Metazoa; Chordata; Mammalia; Rodentia; Caviidae.
GGGGAUGUAGCUCAGUGGUAGUAACUUGCCUUUCAUGCAGAAGGCCUUGGAUUCUAUUCCCAGCAUCACCG